Molecule: non-coding RNA, 13209 nt
Organism: Equus caballus (horse)
Lineage: Eukaryota; Metazoa; Chordata; Mammalia; Perissodactyla; Equidae
Source: RefSeq, a predicted model, not a curated record
AACUGGCAGUAGUUAGCUCAGGGCUAAUCUUCCUCCAAAAAGAAAAAAAAAAGAUAGGGGUAGAGGGCCCCUGACUAUGUUGGCAUAGUGAAGAGGCACUCAGGCUACUGGAGGAGAAGAGAGGAGAGGGAACAGAGGCGGAUGUGGGGUUUACAUCUUCCCUCCACAUAUGUGGUAGGAGCAGACGCAGCCGUGGACUAGGCUGAUGGGAGUGGAGUGCAGAGAAGUGAACUCACGGAAGGGCAAACGUGUGCUGGAUGGGUGUGAACUGGGCAUAGGUGUAAGGACUUGCAGAUGCCUGGCCUGCACAAGCAGGACCACUGCGGGAGACGGAUGUGGAAACAGGACUGGGUAUGGGGGAGACUAUCGUGAGUGAGUCCUGGCCAUGUUGACAUCUGGUGCCUUUGAGAAUUCAAAGCGGAAACGCCAAGGAGGCAGCUGGACAUGGAGUCAGGCGUCUGGAGCGGACAAAGAGUGUGGGAGUCCUGGCGCACACAUGGCCACGGAGGCGAACGUCAAAUGAGGAGAGAGGAGGACCAGAACUGAGCCUGGGAACACCACCAUUUAACAGAACGGAGGAGGGGAGGAGGUGGGAGGGGGCACAAAGCCCAGAGGAGUGGCUGGUGGAGCCCAGGGAGGAGGGUGUGUGCGGACCAUCGGGGCUGCUGGGAGCUGUUUCGGGGAGUGGCGGGUGGAGGGCAAAUUGAGAGGGGGGAGCUGUAAGUGGGAGGUGAGGAAGUGGUGACAAACCCUUCUAAAAUUUUUCCUACAAUGGACAGGAGAGAGAGCAGAGACGUGUAAAGGGGAGGCUGGCCCUGCACUGUGUGGCGAUGCCUACUUGCUCGCCCAUCUCCCCCGAGCAGCGUCUGGCUGCCGUGUCUGUGGGAGCAGUGAGGCUGGCCCCCAGGAGCGAGGCUUGGGGAAGCUUCCUGCUCCCACCUUCUAACCUGGUAAUAUUCAAUCUGGUGCUACCACCAGCCCCCCGGCCCAAAUGCAGUGGGAGACGGAGAGACAAGAGACCCAGGCCCGCCCCCAGCCAGCCCUACUCUCAAAUCACACCACACUGCUUAGAUUUUCCAACGACACCUGUGUGCCGCCACCCUGGCCUUUGCACACACCACUGCCUGUGCCUGAGAACGCCUUCUCGCGACACUGCCCAUCUGGCGUGAGCCUGCGCGGUCUCUAAAGACUGGGCUGCGGCUCUCCUCUGUGAAGGCUCUUCUAUCCUCCGCCUCCCCUGGGGCCUGACCCCUGCACCAGCGUCCCCUCCGGGAGACCCAUGGGGCACCUUGCGGUUGGGUCAUGGAAGAGACUGCAGGCCCCGAGGGGCAGGCGCCCGCUGCAGCCCAGUGUCACCAUGCAGGAACCCAGCCCAGAGUGGCCAGACCCUCAGCUUUCUCAUGAGAAGCCAACAGCCUUGAUAAAAACAUGGAAUCUCCUGAUUUCUAAAACUCAGCCAAAAUUUAAGAGUUUUAAAAUCACCAUGGGGGCCCAAGAAAGCACGUCUCCAGGCAAGAUUCUCCAAGGGCCACCAGGUAGCUCCAUGCGCUGUGCCCCUCCCCCAGGCAGGGCAUGCGUCUUACUUGCCCUGUAAGGAGGGAGGUUUCUGGCGGAGGUGGGGGUAGGGAGAGGGGGGCCUCCUCAGCUUUGUGCCAGAGACUUAGCUGCACCAUCUCAUGUAAUCCUCUAAACGAAACUGCGAGGAAGGUGUGGGCCCAUUUUCCAGCCAGGAAAACCGAGGCUCAGAGAGGUGCCGUGACUCACCUUGGGACUCCCAGCUAGUCAACGGCGAGUUAAUUUCAAGCCCGGUCCAUUUCUUCACAUCUUCCACAGGUGCCGAGAUCAAGUGGAAACCAAGAAAGAUGAGCUCCCUGCUCUCUCGCACGGUGCACGCGGGAAGGAGGCAGACACGACGAGCAAGUCACGAAGGAACGAAGGAAGGAGUGAGAAAAUAGAAGCUUGUGGUGGCCAAGUCCAUCCAAAGUCACACAGGGAGCAGACGGCUUAGUUGUGACUGGGGCUCAGAUCCAAAAGCUCUCCCCAUGCUGCUGAGACUGCGCCUGUCCCCUCUUUGUUGCCCCAGUCACCCUUACCCUAUUCUUGAGGAAGAGACAAGAGGAAAGUCAGAGGUAAUAGGUUACUGAACCCCCACCAGCCUUGUCCACCCCAGCCACCUCCAUAUAGCCCAGAGGCAAUGAAGGGGCUCAGACCCUCCCCCCAGGAUGGGGGUCUAGAAUGAGUCUGGAAGCCAUGACCCCAGUUUCUGCUUCCCUGUUACCCUCCUUCCUUUGGGUAACUAGUUAUAAGACCUCCAUGGCCUUGGGGCGCAGCUGUCGGCGGAAGACAGAAAACAAGAGUCAAGGUCCUGGCUUUGGGGAUUUCAAAAGCCUCCAUGCAGAUGGUUGAGGAAAAGGUUUGGAAGGACAUGCGAUCAAGCAGAGCCAGUUUCUCUUCCCUUCUCCUGGAAACCAGGUGAGAAACUGAGGAAAGGUCAAGUGCCGAAGGACAGUGGGGAAUCCAGGAGGAGAAUCAUGUCUUUUUUGCCCAACCUUCCUUCAUUCAAUCCAUCUACAACUACUGAGCGUCUGCAAGAGCCAGGCCCUGUGCUAAGGGCUGGAGAAAGAGAUAAAUGGGACAGACGGUGCCCUGCCUGCUUGAAGCUCCAGAGGGGAGAUGGACACAAGCAGAAAACAACCGCCAAAGGUCAGAGAGUUAGGAGAUGGGAAGGGCAUGGGCCACAGCAGUGGACAUCUGGAGUGCUCUGUCCUGCGGUCAGGGAAAGCGUCCCUGGUGAGGGGUGUUUCAGCUGAGCCUGAAGGAUGAGGAGAACGAACCAGGUCAGAGCUGCCCAGGUAGAGGGCACACUCCCUGGGGUGCUCAAGCUUCCUUUAGACCAAGCGUUCCAAACCUCCGCACUACUGACAUCAGGGCCCAGAAAACCCUUUGUUCUGGGGGCUGUCCUGUGCAUUGCAGGACAUUUAACAACAUCCCUGGCCUCUACCCAUUAGAUGUCAGAAUACUCACCUCCUCCUUCCCCAAGUCGUGACAUCCAAAAAUGUCUCUGGACAUUACCCCAAUGUCCCUGGGGUGGGGGAGCGGGGCUGAGAGGGCAAAAUUGUCCCCGGGUGAGACCACUGUUUUAGAUGCUACAUAAACAGUUUUACAAUGCAAUGUUUUUAUUUUUACAGUUUUACAGGUUCCUUCUAUUUAUUGCAAGUGUCACUGGCUUUUCAUUUCCAGUAGUGAUCUGAAGCUUCCUUUCUGAAUAAAUUGGGCCUCCCCUCUACUCCCAUCAGGUCCACGAGGGCCCCUGACCGGCACAGAGAAACCCGCGAUGGGCUUGGGGCUGGUCUCGCCGCCCCGCACCCCCCAGCUGGCUCCUCCUGCCGCGGCACAGAGCUGAGCCCUUCAUAAGCAGCCUUGAGGACAUUCCUCCCUGUGACCCUGCCACCUCCCGCGCAUCAGCUGAAACACAAUCCUACUCUCCUGGCCGGUUAGGUUUUAAGUGCUCUGAGCUUCCACACGUCCCUGCAGCGACGCCAUGACACCUUCCAGUCAGUUCCACCGCCCGAGACGCAGCCUGCACACUAGGAAAAGGAGAGGAACGGCUGGCCCCCUUGCUGCACAGCCUCCAGACAGCCCUUCCCUUCCCUGGGCGCUUUCCAGUGUGUAAAGCACUUGACUAUCCCAUGUCUCAUGUAAUCCUUGCCUUUUCCCACGAAGGAGGCUAGGUUUGGUUGCACACUACCUGACAGAGGAGAGAGUGAAGCUCAGAGAGGUAAAGCAACCCACCCAGGGUAACACUGCAUGUUUGUGUCCAGGUCCACCGACUCCAAGUCCGGAUGUCUCAGCACUCCAUCACGGCCUCUUCCAUCCAUUCAUUCAGCAAGUAUUAUUAAGUGCUUACUGUAUGCCAGGCCCUCCUUGUGGUUCAGGAAAUAAAGGUGCAUAUAAGACAAACAAGGGGGCUGCCCUUACGGUGCUGAUAUUCUUAUGAAGGAAGAGAGAAAAUAAACACACACGUUUAAAAUUCAGAGUUUAAUAAAUGCUAUGAAGGAAAACGGGGGAUAAGGAAAAGAGGGUUUAGGGUAGUUAGUUCGGCCAAGGAAGCUGGGGCAGGACUCUCUGCAACAGUGACAAAUUUAAGCUGAGGCCAAAACUGUGAAACUCUAAGGGAAGAGAGUUCCCAAGGAAAGACAGCGGACCCCGAGCCGUGAGCGUGGAAGGCAGCUGCGAGUUUGCGGGUCAUAGAGGAAGAGGUGGAGGCCCAACAUAUGCAGGGGGUGGGGGUGGCCAGGCGCGGCCUCUGCAGGGUCCUGCGGAGGAGGGCAGGGGCACUGGCAGCCUGGUCUCCUGCAGAGGCGCAUGCAGGCUCUGCCAGGCUCUCUGCAGGCCCUGGUCCUUUCCUGACCUCUGGGGGGGGGGGGGGGGGGCUUGUCACAGAGGGUCCCAGAUGCCAAUGGACUGCAGGCCCCCCCUGGCCCACCUCUGUCCUGGGACAGGGGCCAAGAUGGAAGCCUUGAAGACUGGGACCCAGGCCGCACCUGGGCAGACUGAUGGGAGGACAGAGCUGGAGGAAGGCGGUGCAGCGAAGCUUGGAGUUGGGUGUCAGGGCACUGCCCCCCUGUCACACCCUGGCCAGCGCGGUGAGCUCACUAGGGGCCAACAGCUCAGAUUGCCCAGGUCUGAGCAAAACGAGGGGUGAAGAGUGCUUAUGGAGGAUGCGGGAUUGGCCCCCGGGAGCCCAGGCCAUCUCCUGUGCAUCCCUGCCAGGCCUGGACAUCGCUGGCUUUGCUCCUGUUGGCCUUGGCAUCCCUGCCCAAGACCCUCAGCUGUCACCAUCUGUGCUUGCCUGGCAGGCGCGGGCACCCCUGCCCUCUCCUGAGGAAUUCGGCAGGGCCUCGGGCCGGGAGGCCUUCAGACCAUGAGGAAUCAAGGCUCAGCUGGGUUUGUGAGCUACUGGGAGGCAGAGGCAAGUGAGGGGAGGCUCUCGGUAGACCCCGGGGGCAGCCUGAGGCUGGGGCUCCCCCCAGUCAGCCCCUGCCUGCCCCAGCGAGGCUCACCCAUGCAGCCAGAGACUCCUGGCACAGGCUAGCCCUGCUCCUGAGCCAGGCCUCCCAGAGUUGAGGUCUGCGUGAGUUCCCCUUCCCUAGGCCUAUAGAAGAGUAGCCCUGCACACCCCACCCUGCUCCCUAAGAUGACAGAGGCAUCCCAACCAAACUGCCAGGUUCCCCUCCCAACAGCAGAUUGUCCUCUAGGGCCCCCGGGAAUACACCCUCCCCAUUGCCCCACUUCUGCAUCCUGGACUAGACCACCUCGCCCAUCCCCAUUUGCUGGCUGGGCCUCUUCCCUUAACCAGCAGAGCACUCAGAUGCUGUCAUGGGAGGUGGAGUUGUGGAUUCCAGAGUCAGACUGCCUGGAUCUAAAUCCUGCCUCCAGCUCUUACUGGCCAUGUGACCUGGGCAAUUCUGUUAAAGCUCUGUGCCUCAAUUUUCCCAUCUAGUACAGGAAUGAGCCAUGAGUAUACAGAACAGUGGCUGGGGCAUAGUCACUGCCCUACAUGUGCUGGUGCUGUGGUGGUUGCUGUCCAUGCCCCACCCCCGCCUGACCCCUAGGUUCCUGUUGCAGCAAUCCGCCUGCCAGCUCAGACCUCCUCCGAUGCCGACACAUCCUGGACAGAGUCUGAGUUCUUCCCUUCCCGCUGGACCAUGCUAUCCCGCUCCUGUUGGUUCCCCCAACACCUCCCAACCCCACCUACCACUCUCAGCUUACUCCUCCAUCAGACCAAGAAACAGAGGCCCCUCUGUGUCCCAGGUCAACUUACAAUACACUUACCAAGGUCACUGCUUGGCCAUGACUUGUCCCAGCCAGGCAGAUUCUGGAAUGAGGUGUGUGUCCUCACGGAGAGGGAGGGGGUAAUGUGGAAGUGUGGGGAGCCAUCUGAGAGAUGAUGCAGAGGGAGCUCUGAGAGGAUGCCGAGUGGGGUACCCCAGGCAGACUUGGGGUAAGGAAGACGGCCUCGCAGGGUGGCACUUGGGCCACAUGGCGGCCGAUGUGAAGCUGCCAUUACGAGGCCUGCCUGUGUGCACCAGCAGGAAUUCCGCACGCAGCCUCUCCCUGAUUCUGCAUGGGAACUUCAUGAGGGAGGAGCUACUGUCAUCUCUCUUUAACAGAUAAGGAGACUGAGGCUCAGAAAAGCUGAGGAUGUAUGUGGAGGGCCACGGGGGCUAGCUCCAACGUGGGCCCUUGGACAUUUCUCUGCUGCCUCUUAAAGGGCUGGAUUCUCGAGGUAAAUGACACCAUCACUGUCAUCCCUCGCAGCCUGAACCUCAGGAGAAGAGGUAUGACCAAGCGUGAUGACAAGAAAAACAGCAAUCUGACCAGGGUUGGGGGUGGUACUGAGAGCCACCAGAGGCACCUCAGGCUGCAGGGGAUGGAACCUCAGGAGACCUGCAGUCAGAGGCUCGGGGCAAAGGUGGGGCACAGCGUGGCACUGGGGGUGACCCAGCUCUUGCCUGUCUUGUCACUGGUUGACUCUUACCUGGUCUCUACCCCAGGGGGUCUCAGAGCCCCCAGGCCUCGCCAGGACUUGUAAUAUCACAUGGGCAGUGUGUCUCCACCCAGACAGAGAAGAAUGAGGACGCAGCAGCUCGGCGCUCCAGCCUGCUCCCGGAGUCCCAGACACCACUGGCCUGACACCUGCCCAUCACACCUGGACAGCCAGCAAUGUCUGUCUGGCCAUCCAGCAGGGAAGAGACCACUGGGUUAGAGUCAGGCACAUCUGGGUUUGAAUCUCAAUUCUGCAACUUCCCAGCUGUGUGUCCAUGGACAAGUCACUUAACAUCUCUGAGGCCCUGUUUCCUCAUCUGGAAAGUGGGGAUAAUCCACCCAUACAGCCAAUACUCCUCGAGCACCUCUUGUGUGCCAGAUAUUUUUCUAAGUCUUGGGGACACAGUGGAGAGCAAGACAGAGUCCCUGUCCUCAUGGAGAUGAUGUUCAAGUUGGGAGACAGACGACAAACAUGCACUUUCAGGGAAGAAACAGGAGCCAGAGUGACUGGGGAAGCCGUUUUAGACUGGAUCACAGGGAAGGCCUCUCUCUGGGAGGGAGCUUCAGGCUGGAACCUGAAGGAUCCUGCCAGCCAGCCACCUUCCCAGAGACAAAUGGCCGGCAAGCACACACUCGUCGUCUCAAAAUAGUCACCAGGGAGUUCCCGACUCCCAGGAGAAGCACACAGAAGACGCUGUUUGUGAGAAGAGUUCUCAGCGUGGAGAACUUCCAUCCAGGGGCAGCGCCCUCCCGGGGCCCUUCGACUCCCCAGCCAGCCAUCCGCAGCGGCAGAUCAGCAUCCGAGGAGGAGAGAGGAGGAGAGACGGGAGCUGGGGAGACAGCACGGCCCUUCAGUGCGGAACAGGCAAGGAAGCCAGCUGCCAUGUUGCGAGCAGCCCUUGGGAGAGGCCCACACGGCUGGGCACUGAGGCUCUCAGCCCGAUGGCCCGUGAGGGACUGAAGCUGCCACAGCCACGACAAGCAGCCUGGAGGCAGACCCUGCAGCCUCGGUCACGUGCAGAUGGGACCGCAGCCCUGGCCCACAGUUCAAUGGCCGCCUCGUGAGAGACUUGGAGCAAGGGUCAAAGGAAGCUGUGCCCGGACCCCUGACCCGCAGAAGCUGUUUCUGCGCACAUGACCCUUCACCAUGAUGGCCUUCCGUCAGCACAGUGUAAGAGGCCGUGCCGUCUUCAGAGCACCAUCACCACCAGACAGGUCAUGCCUUUAUUUAGUUCUUAACUAUCCCCCUCCUAGCACAUCCACUCCCAGGAGGAGGAGUUGUGUCCGCUUUGGUCAUUGCUGUGUCUCCAGUGCCUAGAACAGUGCCUGGCUCAGAGCCGGGGCUCAGGAAAUACUGACCAAGUUAAUAAUCAGCGAGUGAAAAGAAUUUGGUAGAUUAAAAUAUACUGAGCAAAAAUCACCUCCAAGAAACAGUGAGUGAGAAAAGCAAGGCAGAGAGUGAGUGCACCAUGCCAGCAGGUGUUGUAAAGAUGCCCGGAACAAUUCCGAAAGGACAGACAAGAAGCUGGCAACAGCAGCUGAGGAAGAGUUCACAAAGGAGACACACCCAACCUGGGCCUUGAGGGAGAGGUGGGGGAAAAGAGGGACAGUAUUUUAGGCAGGAGGAACAGCACGGGUCUCCCCUGGAGACCAAGAUGGCACCAGCCCCAGACACUCUUCUGUGGACCGGCCCAGCCCACCCCACAUGCUGGGCUCCUGGCCACACUCGGCCCCCAUCCCAGGGACCUCCUGGGAGCCCUGUCCCCUGCUUCCCUCCGGACCGCUGUGCUCCAGGCCACUCAGCGCCUGGCCCUCUGUCUUCCUGCCUACCUUGCCUACCCAACCCACUCCCCCAGAGUUGCGUCCUAUGCCUGAAAAGCCCCAAUUGGCUGGAGAGCUGGCCACCAGGAAGAUGACAGGACAGCUGGCCCCUUGUGAGGAUCUCCAGCGGCCUCACCCACCAGCUUGGCUUCAGCCAAGGCCACGCCCCCAGACCCUGCCCCUUCCUGGCCAUGCCCCUCAGAGUCCCGUUUUCCACUGGACCAGUGCCUGGGCCCUCACAUUUCCCCAGAGCCCAGGCCCCUGAGCCCCUGGCAUCCCUUGCCGUUCCCACUGCACUAAGUCGGUUUAAAUCACUAGAUUCAAGCAGUUCCAGGACCGCGGGUUUUACUUUUAAUUUUUACUAAACUUAUUAAAAUUCUUGCUUCCUCCUAUGCCCCCAAAGCCCAAUUUCUGCCUGGCCCUGUGCCUGGGGCCAGGCUCAUUUGUGGUAAAGGCCCACUGGCCCGCAUAUUCUCCCAAUCCUUGCUUCCAAGAGCACGCAAAGGAUGUGGCAGAAUUUCAAUCACCAUGCCCAGCCUCAGCGAGGCCAAGGACACAACGUAGCCCGCCCCUUGGCCCCACCUUCUGAAGACACACUGACUAUUCCCCAGCUGAAAGGUCCUGGUUCCCUUCUAGAAUCUUCUGACCCCUCUGCAGGCCCUGACUCGCUUCUAACAUUCCAACUCAUUCAUUCAACUAAUAUUUCUUAAGCAUCGGCUAUAUGCAAAGUAUUGGACCAGCCACUGGGGCUACAGCUGUGAAUAUGGCAUAGCCAUUCCCCCAAGGCUAACGAGGAGGACGACACAAAUAGCGAAGUAAAAUCAAUUACUGCAAACACUAAAAGAGAAAUAUAUGCAGCCGUGAUCCAAAAUUGGCAGCCCGUGAGCUGAAUCCAACCUGCAGAUGUUGGCUAGAGCUGUAAAAAGUGAUGAAUUUUUUGGCCAACAUUUAAAAAUCUGGAGGAUCUCCAUUAAAAUAUGGACGUUUGGGCUUCUCUCGUAAAAAUCAGAGCCUCUGGCAACACCAGGUCCACAUUUCCCCUUGGUGACUCUCAGCCAGAGCAGUUGGAGCUGUGCCUAAUAGUCAGGGCCUGUGGUCUCUGGGCCUCGCAGGCCCCACCGUGCCCAUCAUCUCCCUGGCCGCUGCCCUUUGCCACUCCUGCAGUGUUCCCGCUCACUCACUCAUUCACAUUUCCUUCCAGGCCACUGAAGGCAUUUACCUUUUCAACCCCUGAAAGGGAGCUGAGGGAGACACGAGGUCAGCAUGUGUUCCCCGACGGGAAGCGGGAGGUAGGGAAGAAGGAGGGAGGCAGUGCAGGCAGCGUGAACAGCCCAGCAAAGGCAGGGGGAGUGAAGCAGCCAGCAGCGGGGAGCUGGGUUCUGGCCCUCCUAGUCCUACUGAGUUUGGCAUCACCUGCUCUGACCAGGUUCCUGACUCAGGACUGUCCCAGUGCUGCUUCUGAUCUCCUGGGACCUGCCUUGGACAUGUGGGGACAAGGCUACAGGUGAGCGCAGGCCAUGAGGUGUAGGUGACCUAAAAAUGAGAGGUUUCCAACUAGAUGAUCUCUAAGGCACCUUCUACCUCUGAUAGCUGGAAUUUUUAAAACAACUUAUCAUUCUGAAAUAAUUAUAGAGUCACAGGAAGUUGCAAAGAAAGUGUCAUGCCCUCUUCACCCAAUGUUAACACUUACACAACUCAUGGGGUCCUAGCAUCAAAGGCAGGAAAUUGACCUUGGCACAAGCCAGAGUUGACUCAGAUUUCUCCAGUUAUACACGUAAGCAUGAGUGUGUGUGAGACAGUGUGUGUGUGUGUUGUUGUUCUGUGCAAUUUUGUCACAUGUAUAGCUGUGUAUAACCACCCCCACAAUCAAGACACUCAACUGCGCCAUCCCAAGACCCCUCAUGUUGCCCCUUCUAGAGCCAUCUGCCCGCCAUCCCUAACCUCUGGCAACCGCUGAUCUGCCCUCCAUCUCCACAGACAUGCUAUUGCACAAUGCUCCAUAAAUGGAAUCCUGCAAUAUGCAUCCUUUUGAGGUUGGCUUUUUUCACUCAGCAUCAUUUCCUUGAGUCCAUCCAAGUUACUGUGUGGACCAACUGUUGUCUCCUUUUUCGCUGAGUAGUAUUCCACGGCACGGACAUAUCGCAGUUUGUUUAUUCAUUCACCCAUUGAAGGACAUUUGGUUAGUUUCCAGUUUGGGGCUAUUACAAAUACAGCUGCUAUGAACAUGCAUGUACAAGUUCCUGUGUGAAAACAAGUCUUUCUUUAUCUGAGAUAAAUGCCCAAGAAUGCAAUUGCUAGGUCUUAUGGUAAUUCUUUGGUAAACCCAUUUUUACUUUGGAAAAUAACUGCCAAACAAUUUUCCAGAGUGGUUGAAUCAUUUUACAUUCCUGCCAGCAAUACAUGGCUGAUAACUUUCUGGAUAACUGGAAUUGUAUUUAAAAGCAAAAAACUAGAGUUCUCCUUGGGACCAACCUUUCAGCAAUCUCAACAUUUCUGAACAACCCCAGGAUUUUGACACCCCCAUCCUCAUCAUUUUCACCUCUCUCCCUGCUCCCCCACCCCCAGACCAUAAGCUCGUAGAAAGCAGGGCCCAGGCCUUGCUCAGAUCUGCAGCCCUGGGCCCGGCACAGGCGUGGUGCCUAGGGGUGCUCCGUGAGGACACAUUAAAUUGCACAGAACGGCUAAGCAAGUCAGCAAAGACUCACAGGCAGCAAGUCAGACAGACAGGAUGGCAGAUGCCAGCCCCCGGGUUUCCAGGGCAUGGCUUAACACACCCAGAGGCAGGCUGUAUGUGAAAAUGCUCAGCCUGAAAGGCCACCAUCCCCCUAGCACACGCAUCCUCCCGCCCCCCGAAAUCCAGCUCUUUUUAUGUUGAAAGCACAGAUGUACAUAUAGCACAUAAACAGAUACACAUACAGUGUAUCUGUGGAGUUAAAAUUUCAUGGAGGGGGGCCACUUAGGAAAAAAAAGGCUAAAAAGGCUCUUUAGGGGAGCAAUAAUGAAAAAAAGGUUGAGAAACACUGUCCUGGAAGUGUCCUGGGCCCUCCACCUGUGAGUCAGAGGGAGGAGGCCACCUGACCGGCAAUGGGGCAGAGCGGGACCUUCUGAAAAUGCAUUCUGACCAUCUUGCUCCCCUGAUCUAGAACCAUCACUGGCUCCCACUGCCUCUAGAGAGAAGUCGGCACUGUCCAGCCCCACAGCCCCCACGCCACAGCUCCUGUCACAGCUGCAGGAAACGACGGAGUCACCUGUGCUUGACAAGCCCUGCCAUGUCUCCUUGCCUUUGCACCCGCCGUUCCUUCCACCUGAAAUGCCUUUGCCCUAUCCUUUACCCCAUCUUUGUUCAAAGAACGGUCGCCUCCUCACCUCUCUGAAGGGUCCUUUGCCUUUCCAGGUGCUCCAGGUGCCUGCAGUGUUGCAUUCAUGCUUCUGUGGCAGCCUCUUACAUAUCUUAUUAUCACUAAGCUGCUGCAUCCCAGAUGGUUUUUCCAACUAGACUCUGAGUCCCCUGGAGACAGGGGCCUCGUCUCACUCGCCUGCGGCACAGGGUCCACCUCAAGUCAGCACGCCCCAGUUCGGGACUCCUGAACCUCCCGGCCGCUCCGCCCACCCAGUCGGCCCCUCCGCCCACCCAGUCGGCCCCACCUGAGAGAAAGAAGCUGCAGCCUGCCACGGCUCAAGCCACAAAUCCUGGAGUCGGCUGUGACUCCUCUCUCCAGCUCCCUCUCCAGCUCCGUCUCUCCUGCAUCAGUGCAUCCUGCUGGUUCUACCUUUGAAACAUACCCAGAAGCCAACCACCUCUCACACCUCCACAACUGCCACCCUGGUCUAAACCACCUGCAUCUCUCACCUGGACUGUCGUCAUAGCUUCCUCACUGGCCUCCCUGCUCCCGCCCUUCUCAACAUGGCAGCCACCGUGAUGCCCUUUGAGAAUAGGUCAGAUCAUUCUUCUCUGAUCAGAACCCUUGGCAUUUCACCUCACGGGGUCAAAGCCAAAGUCCUCACCAUGGCUGACACAGCCUCCACAAUCUACCUCUCUCCUCCUACCAGUCUCUCCUGAACUUUCACCUCUCUCUGCCUUGCUCAUCUCACCUCAGGCACAUGGCUUCCAUUCCUAAAGACACAACAGACAUACUCCUGCCCCAGGGCCUUUGCACUUACUGUUCCCCAUCUCUGGAAUGAUCUUCCCCAGAUAGUCCCAUGGCCUCCUCACUUCCAUCAAGUCGCUACUGAAAUAUCACCUCUGCUGAGAGGCCUUGCCUGACUACCCUGUCUAAAAUAGCCCCUCCUUCCAUCAUUCUCUAGCCCCUUACUUUAUUUUUUGUCAAAGCAUUUAUCACCACCCGACAUUAUUUCAUCAUAUUAUCUCUUUGCUUAUCCAAUUAUUUUUCCCCCUCCCCUCGCUAGAUUGUAUACUCCACGAGACAGGGAUGUUGUAGGUUUUGAUCAUGAUCUAGAACAGAGGUUGGCAAACUAUGGCCCACGGGCCAAAUGUGGCCUGUAGCCAGUUUUUGUAAACAUAGUUGUUUUUUUCCAGUUUUCUUCAGAUAUAAUUGACAUAUAACAUUGUAUUGGUUUUAGGUGAUUGAUGGCUUGAUAUCUGCAUAUAUUGUGAAAUGCUCACCACAAUAAGCUGAGUUAACAUCCAUCACCUCACAUAGCUACAAUCUUUUUUUUCUUGUGAUGAGAACUUUUAAGACCCACUCUCUUAGCAACUUUCAAACAUACAACAUGAUUGUUAACUUUAGGGACCAUGCUGUACAUCACAUCCCCAGGGCUUAUUUAUCUUAUAACUGGAAGGUUGUACCUUUUGACCACCUUCACCCAUCUUGCCUACCC